GUCCACGCCCUAAACGAUGUCUACUAGUUGUCGGGUUUUAAUUAACUUGGUAACGCAGCUAACGCGUGAAGUAGACCGCCUGGGGAGUACGGUCGCAAGAUUAAAACUCAAAGGAAUUGACGGGGACCCGCACAAGCGGUGGAUGAUGUGGAUUAAUUCGAUGCAACGCGAAAAACCUUACCUACCCUUGACAUGGCAGAAAUCCCGGAGAGAUUUGGGAGUGCUCGAAAGAGAAUCUGCACACAGGUGCUGCAUGGCUGUCGU
This 264-nucleotide ribosomal RNA is filed under the name uncultured bacterium. Its description in RNAcentral is "partial 16S ribosomal RNA". It matches the Rfam family "Bacterial small subunit ribosomal RNA", at positions 793 to 1055 of the family's 1533-position model. The record is from RNAcentral.